CAGCAGCCGCGGGAAUACGAAGGGGGCUAGCGUUGCUCGGAAUGACUGGGCGUAAAGGGCGCGUAGGCGGUUUGCACAGUCGGGUGUGAAAUUCCUGGGCUUAACCUGGGGACUGCAUUCGAGACGUGUAGGCUUGAGUGGGGAAGAGGGUCGUGGAAUUCCCAGUGUAGAGGUGAAAUUCGUAGAUAUUGGGAAGAACACCGGUGGCGAAGGCGGCGACCUGGUCCUUGACUGACGCUGAGGCGCGAAAGCGUGGGGAGCAAACAGGAUUAGAUACCCGCGUAGUCCCUGUCUCUUAUAA
Molecule: ribosomal RNA, 301 nt
Filed under: uncultured bacterium
Lineage: Bacteria
Description: partial 16S ribosomal RNA
Rfam family: Bacterial small subunit ribosomal RNA
Source: RNAcentral